UACAAAGGUGGCAAGCGUUGUUCGGAAUUACUGGGCGUAAAGGGCGCGUAGGCGGUUCGUUAAGUCCUGUGUGAAAUCCCCCGGCUCAACUGGGGAACUGCACAGGAAACUAGCGGGCUUGAGUUCGGGAGAGGGAAGCGGAAUUCCGGGUGUAGCGGUGAAAUGCGUAGAUAUCCGGAGGAACACCGGUGGCGAAGGCGGCUUCCUGGCCUGUUCUUGACGCUGAGGCGCGAAAGCUAGGGGAGCAAACGGG
This 253-nucleotide ribosomal RNA is filed under the name uncultured bacterium. RNAcentral describes it as "partial 16S ribosomal RNA". It matches the Rfam family "Bacterial small subunit ribosomal RNA", at positions 524 to 776 of the family's 1533-position model. The record is from RNAcentral.